This is a long non-coding RNA of Pan troglodytes (chimpanzee), 1436 nucleotides long. Lineage: Eukaryota; Metazoa; Chordata; Mammalia; Primates; Hominidae. The record is from Ensembl.
GGUCAUUCUUAAUGUUUGCUUAGCCUCUUGUACUCUGACUUAGUAUUGUGAGUACUAAACCUUAGCCAUAGUAUUAAACCUCCUACUAUUUUUUUUCAUAGUUCCAGAACAAAUAAUUAUUUGCGUUCCUAUUUAAUAGUUCCUAAGAAUCUGGGCGUUGCCAGAUCAUCUUUGAGACAAUUCUGAUUGGUCCCACUAAGAGCAAGCCGCUGUGUAAAAAUAGCAACUGCAGGGAGAUAUUCCCAAGACAAAGUCAGAGCUGCCAAUCAACUCCAGCCCUGGGCAUCCACUCCACUUCCACAAGGACGCUAUGCUGGUGAAGUUCUCUGUGGAAUGGAAGACUGAACUAGCUAGUUUGAGUACUUAUAAAUACAAAAUAAAUAAACGGAGUUAAAUUACUUUAUUAUUACAAUGCAGAAAUGAGGAAGUGUAAUAGCCAGCUAGUCUUGGAAUAUGGCACUGUGAAUGAAAUGAUUAAUUGCAUAUUCAUCUGGUCUCAGAUACAGGACAUUCUCUUGCAUAGGUUAAAUGUAUUAAUGGUAGAGAAUUAUGCAAAAAAUACUCAUUUUCUCCAAUACCAGAACAUACAGGAAGCAAGUAAAGGUAAUUUCACAAUUCAUCUAAUUUCUUGUACUACUAAAGAAAAGUAAAACUUGAGGAUCAGUAGUGGCCAUGGUAUGGUUUGACUAUGUCCCCUCCAAAAUCUAGUGUUGAAACUUAAUGACCAUUGUGAUGGUAUUAAGAGGUGAUUGAGUUGUAAGAGCUCCUUCCCUCAUGAUACGAUUAAGUCCCUCAUAAAAGAGGGCUCAAGCAACAUUAGAUUUUCUUGUGUCUGAAGCUAUGUGAAGCCAGAUGAGGACACAGUGUUCUUGUCUUCCGGAAAAUAUAGCAAGAAGGCAUAAUGUUGGAAGCAGAGAGUAGCCUUUGCCAGACAACAGAUCCUACUGGUGCCUAGAUCUUGGACAUCCAGCCUCCAGAACUGUGAAAAAAAUAAAUUUAUGUUCUUCAUAAAUUAUUUGGUCUCAGAUAUUGUGUUAUAAUAGCACAAAAUGGAGUAAGGCACCAUUAGUUUUUUAUUGGUGUGGAAACUGUAGCUGAAUAGGUUUGCUGAUUUAUUUCCAGAAACAUACGACUAAUGGAAGUUUUCAUUCUUAACGAAACAGUCUUUCCCCUGUAUUAUUUUCUACAUUCCCAAUCCAGAGGUAUAAUGAUAACAGGAUCACACUUCUAGGACAUAGAUCUUAAAUGCAUGUUUUGCUCAAAACUACAUUUUCAAAAAUAAAAAAAAAAAACGAUGUUUUGCAUCUUCUAAGAUCUAAGAAUAUUAUCUGUGAAAAUAAAUUGCUUAUGUGCUUGACAAUUUAGUACCACAUUGUAAAACCAUCUUAUAGACUAGUGAUAAAAAAGAACAAUUGAUAAGUAAAACAUUUUAGUAC